UCUGAGACUGCCACAGGCAACCUCUG
RNAcentral lists this non-coding RNA (26 nucleotides) under Cricetulus griseus (Chinese hamster). The record is from RNAcentral. Lineage: Eukaryota; Metazoa; Chordata; Mammalia; Rodentia; Cricetidae.